GAUGAACGCUAGCUACAGGCUUAACACAUGCAAGUCGAGGGGAAACGACAUCGAAAGCUUGCUUUUGAUGGGCGGCGACCGGCGCACGGGAGAGUAACGCGUAUCCAACCUGCCCAUCACUUGGGGAUAACCUUGCGAAAGUAAGACUAAUACCCAAUGAUAUCUCUAGAAGACAUCUGAAAGAGAUUAAAGAUUUAUCGGUGAUGGAUGGGGAUGCGUCUGAUUAGCUUGUUGGCGGGGUAACGGCCCACCAAGGCAACGAUCAGUAGGGGUUCUGAGAGGAAGGUCCCCCACAUUGGAACUGAGACACGGUCCAAACUCCUACGGGAGGCAGCAGUGAGGAAUAUUGGUCAAUGGGCGAGAGCCUGAACCAGCCAAGUAGCGUGCAGGAAGACGGCCCUAUGGGUUGUAAACUGCUUUUAUAAGGGAAUAAAGUGAGAGUCGUGACUCUUUUUGUAUGUACCUUAUGAAUAAGGACCGGCUAAUUCCGUG
This 492-nucleotide ribosomal RNA is filed under the name uncultured bacterium. RNAcentral's name for it is "partial 16S ribosomal RNA". It matches the Rfam family "Bacterial small subunit ribosomal RNA", at positions 28 to 507 of the family's 1533-position model. The record is from RNAcentral.